Molecule: ribosomal RNA, 236 nt
Filed under: uncultured bacterium
Lineage: Bacteria
Description: partial 16S ribosomal RNA
Rfam family: Bacterial small subunit ribosomal RNA
Source: RNAcentral
GAUCAUGGCUCAGGAUGAACGCUAGCUACAGGCUUAACACAUGCAAGUCGAGGGGAAACGACAUCGAAAGCUUGCUUUUGAUGGGCGUCGACCGGCGCACGGGUGAGUAACGCGUAUCCAACCUGCCCAUCACGUUGGGAAUAACCUUGCGAAAGUAAGACUAACUGCCCAAUGACUAUCCCACGAAGGCAUCCGAAUGGGAUUAAAGAUUUAUCGGUGAUGGAGUGGGGAUGCGU